GGGGAUAUAGCUCAGUUGGUGAAGUGCUUGCCUUGCAUGCAUGAGGCACUGGGUUCAAACUCCAGUACCACCA
This 73-nucleotide transfer RNA is filed under the name Marmota marmota marmota (Alpine marmot). It matches the Rfam family "tRNA". Rfam says of the family: Transfer RNA (tRNA) molecules are approximately 80 nucleotides in length. Their secondary structure includes four short double-helical elements and three loops (D, anti-codon, and T loops). Further hydrogen bonds mediate the characteristic L-shaped molecular structure. tRNAs have two regions of fundamental functional importance: the anti-codon, which is responsible for specific mRNA codon recognition, and the 3' end, to which the tRNAs corresponding amino acid is attached (by aminoacyl-tRNA synthetases). tRNAs cope with the degeneracy of the genetic code in two manners: having more than one tRNA (with a specific anti-codon) for a particular amino acid; and 'wobble' base-pairing, i.e. permitting non-standard base-pairing at the 3rd anti-codon position. Lineage: Eukaryota; Metazoa; Chordata; Mammalia; Rodentia; Sciuridae. RNAcentral also lists the same sequence under 1 other name. The record is from Rfam by way of RNAcentral.